This 392-nucleotide unclassified non-coding RNA is filed under the name Hevea brasiliensis (rubber tree). The record is from RNAcentral. Lineage: Eukaryota; Viridiplantae; Streptophyta; Magnoliopsida; Malpighiales; Euphorbiaceae.
UGUUGAACGCAUGUGCUGGAGAAUAGCAGAAAAAAAGAACCAAACAGUGAUUUGGGUCAAGCCUCUAAACAACGACUGUUACAUGGAAAGACCAGCUGGUACUCAACCACCACUUUGUCGGUCCAAUGAUGAUCCUGAUGCUGUUUGGGGUGUGAACAUGGAAGCAUGCAUAACACCUUAUUCUGAUCAUGACCACAAAGUUGGCGGAAGCGGGCUGGCUCCUUGGCCAGCAAGGCUAUCCACUCCUCCUCCUCGUCUUGCUGAUUUUGGGUAUUCAAGUGAAAUGUUUGAGAAGGACAUGGAGCUUUGGCAGCGAAGAGUUGAACAUUACUGGAAUAUUUUAAGUUCAAAGAUUUCUUCAGACACACUGAGAAAUAUCAUGGACAUGAAGG